GGGGAUGACAGGUUUCGACGGGGACGGCUGUGCCUGGAUUGCAGGCCGAGUUUGGCUCAAACUCGCUAAACAGGGCCAAAACACAAGUGCCGAGCCUUCGCUCGCACUCGCUGCCUAAGAGGUAGCGAUGCCCUCCCGGCGCCCCGCCGGCGCGUCGGGGUUGGGUAUCAUGCAGUCGGCGUGCCGCGGCCCUGACACCGAUGGGGAUCGCGAAAGAUGCAUCGGUUGGCACCCUCCUCGGCUCGGUCGGGUGAGAUGGGAAGGUGCGAGACACUGGCAAGCCCGACUAAGCCUGUAGCAUAUCCAGUCGCGAACUCUUCGGACGCCGGUUCGAUUCCGGCCAUCUCCACCA
Molecule: transfer-messenger RNA, 352 nt
Filed under: Anaerolineae
Lineage: Bacteria; Bacillati; Chloroflexota
Also listed under: 2 other names
Description: JACKBJ01 sp020634625 Standard tmRNA
Rfam family: transfer-messenger RNA
About the family: Bacterial tmRNA, also known as 10Sa RNA or SsrA, is named for its dual tRNA and mRNA-like properties. Its role is to liberate the mRNA from a stalled ribosome.
Source: RNAcentral